Molecule: ribosomal RNA, 497 nt
Filed under: Spathaspora sp. BG090807.3.9.3.2.15
Lineage: Eukaryota; Fungi; Ascomycota; Pichiomycetes; Serinales; Debaryomycetaceae
Description: eukaryotic LSU rRNA
Rfam family: Eukaryotic large subunit ribosomal RNA
Source: RNAcentral
AGCAUAUCAAUAAGCGGAGGAAUAGAAACCAACAGGGAUUGCCUUAGUAGCGGCGAGUGAAGCGGCAAAAGCUCAAAUUUGAAAUCUGGCGGCCUCGUCGUCCGAGUUGUAAUUUGAAGAAGGUAUCUUUGGGUCUGGCGCUUGUCUAUGUUCCUUGGAACAGGACGUCACAGAGGGUGAGAAUCCCGUGCGAUGAGCAGUCCAGAUCCGUGUAAAGUUCCUUCGAAGAGUCGAGUUGUUUGGGAAUGCAGCUCUAAGUGGGUGGUAAAUUCCAUCUAAAGCUAAAUAUUGGCGAGAGACCGAUAGCGAACAAGUACAGUGAUGGAAAGAUGAAAAGAACUUUGAAAAGAGAGUGAAAAAGUACGUGAAAUUGUUGAAAGGGAAGGGCUUGCGAUCAGACUUGGUAUUUUGUAUGUCUUGCUUUCGGGCGGGGCCUCUGCAGUUUACUGGGCCAGCAUCGGUUCGGGUGGCAGGACAAUUGCGGAGAAAUGUGGCAC